RNAcentral lists this ribosomal RNA (792 nucleotides) under Triticum aestivum (bread wheat). RNAcentral's name for it is "partial small subunit ribosomal RNA". Lineage: Eukaryota; Viridiplantae; Streptophyta; Magnoliopsida; Poales; Poaceae. The record is from RNAcentral.
CAACCACUUCUUGACCAAGUAAGGCAUUUUAUACCAGCCUGGAAGAGAGGGCUCAUGCAGCGGCCAGGUCGGCUUAUCCUGGUGAAAUCAGUCAUUGCGGCAAGGCCGGCGCACCAACUUCUGGUUAUGAAACCGCCGAUAUGGGUGCUCGAGGACAUGGACAGUUGGAUGCGCGCUUUUUUCUGGGCAGGUAAAGAUUGAGCACAUGGUGGUCGGUUUCUUGUGGCAUGGAGUGCUAUCUGCAACCCACUGAGUUAUGGCAGGUUAGGCGUGAAGAACCUGGGGGCUGCAAGCCCUCCCCUGAGGGUGCGUUGGGAGUGGUUGAGGCGCACUGACGAUCAAAGACCGUGGCAGGAACUCCAGUUUUUGGUGGACGAGGAUGCGAGGAUGGUGUUCGACGACAUGGUCAAGAUCACAGUUGGCAAGGGGGACAAGAUUCUAUUUUGGAGAGAUAGAUGGAUUCAUGGUUUUUCAGUAUACGAUAUUGCUCCUAUACUAGCCAGUGUCGUAGACACCAAAACGAGGAACGCGAGAAUGGUUGAGCAGGCUAUGAUCGGAGAAAGAUGGAUCCAUGAUGUACCACCGCAAACCUCCAUGGGUGCAUGCUGCAAACUGUGCAUCUUAGGCACGCAAUUACCACAGUGCAAAGAGACGAGUUGGCGGAUGACAAGUUCACGUGGCCCCAUGACAAAUCCGGAGAAUACACAACAAAAUCCACUUAUAAGCAACUUUGUCAAGGAGGGAUUCGUGUCCCGAUGGCCGAGGCGAUUUGGAGGAGUUGGGCACCUCUGA